AGCGGUACCGGCGCAAGAAGGAGGGGUUGGCGAUGAGACGGCAGAAGGCGACGCAGGCGGCGGAGGCGCGAACGAGGUCGGCAGGGGAGCCGAUCCGGAGGAAUAUCUCCACCACGAGGUCGUUGGUGAGGGCUUCCAGAGUUCGUGGAGAUUCCAUGGCUAAGAGGCCGGAGCUCGGAUCGGUGAAAUCGGCGACGAUGUGGCCGGCAAGACUCCCGCCGCCGGCGCCCUGCGGAUGGAUGAGGCUGACCGAUGGG
RNAcentral lists this long non-coding RNA (257 nucleotides) under Zea mays. Its description in RNAcentral is "long non-coding RNA (ZMAY_LNC003286)". The record is from RNAcentral. Lineage: Eukaryota; Viridiplantae; Streptophyta; Magnoliopsida; Poales; Poaceae.